RNAcentral lists this ribosomal RNA (1270 nucleotides) under metagenome. RNAcentral describes it as "bacterial SSU rRNA". It matches the Rfam family "Bacterial small subunit ribosomal RNA", at positions 209 to 1470 of the family's 1533-position model. The record is from RNAcentral.
GGCCUUGCGCUCUUUGAGCGGCCGAUGUCAGAUUAGCUAGUUGGUGAGGUAAAGGCUUACCAAGGCGACGAUCUGUAGCGGGUCUGAGAGGAUGAUCCGCCACACUGGAACUGAGACACGGUCCAGACUCCUACGGGAGGCAGCAGUGGGGAAUUUUGGACAAUGGGGGCAACCCUGAUCCAGCCAUGCCGCGUGAGUGAAGAAGGCCUUCGGGUUGUAAAGCUCUUUCGGCCGGGAAGAAAUCGCAUGGGCCAAUACCCUGUGUGGAUGACGGUACCGGAAUAAGAAGCACCGGCUAACUACGUGCCAGCAGCCGCGGUAAUACGUAGGGUGCGAGCGUUAAUCGGAAUUACUGGGCGUAAAGCGUGCGCAGGCGGUUUUGUAAGACAGGCGUGAAAUCCCCGGGCUUAACCUGGGAACUGCGUUUGUGACUGCAAGGCUAGAGUACGGCAGAGGGGGGUGGAAUUCCACGUGUAGCAGUGAAAUGCGUAGAGAUGUGGAGGAACACCAAUGGCGAAGGCAGCCCCCUGGGUCGAUACUGACGCUCAUGCACGAAAGCGUAGGUAGCAAACAGGAUUAGAUACCCUGGUAGUCCACGCCCUAAACUAUGUCAACUAGGUGUUGGGUGGGUAAAACCAUUUAGUACCGUAGCUAACGCGUGAAGUUGACCGCCUGGGGAGUACGGCCGCAAGGUUAAAACUCAAAGGAAUUGACGGGGACCCGCACAAGCGGUGGAUGAUGUGGAUUAAUUCGAUGCAACGCGAAAAACCUUACCUACCCUUGACAUGCCAGGAACUUGCCAGAGAUGGCUUGGUGCCCGAAAGGGAGCCUGGACACAGGUGCUGCAUGGCUGUCGUCAGCUCGUGUCGUGAGAUGUUGGGUUAAGUCCCGCAACGAGCGCAACCCUUGUCGUUAAUUGCCAUCAUUUAGUUGGGCACUUUAACGAGACUGCCGGUGACAAACCGGAGGAAGGUGGGGAUGACGUCAAGUCCUCAUGGCCCUUAUGGGUAGGGCUUCACACGUCAUACAAUGGUCGGUACAAAGGGUUGCCAAGCCGCGAGGCGGAGCCAAUCCCAGAAAGCCGAUCGUAGUCCGGAUUGCAGGCUGCAACUCGCCUGCAUGAAGUCGGAAUCGCUAGUAAUCGUGGAUCAGCAUGUCACGGUGAAUACGUUCCCGGGUCUUGUACACACCGCCCGUCACACCAUGGGAGCGGGUUCCGCCAGAAGUAGGUAGCCUAACCGCAAGGGGGGCGCUUACCACGGCGGGGUUC